Molecule: ribosomal RNA, 564 nt
Filed under: uncultured fungus
Lineage: Eukaryota; Fungi
Description: eukaryotic LSU rRNA
Rfam family: 5.8S ribosomal RNA (bases 194-347)
Source: RNAcentral
AGUAAAAGUCGUAACAAGGUUUCCGUAGGUGAACCUGCGGAAGGAUCAUUAUCGUAGAGCCUCGGCUCUGUCGAGAUAGAACCCUUGCCUUUUUAAGUACCUUUCGUUUCCUCGGCAGGCUCGCCUGCCGAUGGACCCCCCAAAAAACACUUUGCAGUACCUGUAAUAGUCUGAACAACAAACAAAAAAUUAAAACUUUCAACAACGGAUCUCUUGGUUCUGGCAUCGAUGAAGAACGCAGCGAAAUGCGAUAAGUAGUGUGAAUUGCAGAAUUCAGUGAAUCAUCGAAUCUUUGAACGCACAUUGCGCCCUUUGGUAUUCCUUAGGGCAUGCCUGUUCGAGCGUCAUUUAAACCUUCAAGCUCAGCUUGGUGUUGGGUGACUGUCCGCUGCCCUCGGGUGCGGACUCGCCUCAAAAUCAUUGGCGGCCGGUACAUUGGCUUCGAGCGCAGCAGAAACGCGAACUCGGAACCGUUGUAUUGGCUCCCAGAAGCUAUCUUCAUAAUUUUGACCUCGGAUCAGGUAGGGAUACCCGCUGAACUUAAGCAUAUCAAUAAGCGGAGGA